This 106-nucleotide ribosomal RNA is filed under the name uncultured bacterium. RNAcentral's name for it is "partial 16S ribosomal RNA". It matches the Rfam family "Bacterial small subunit ribosomal RNA", at positions 356 to 460 of the family's 1533-position model. The record is from RNAcentral.
GAGGAAUAUUGGUCAAUGGACGAAAGUCUGAACCAGCCAUCCCGCGUGCAGGAUGACGGCCCUAUGGGUUGUAAACUGCUUUUCUACGCCAAGAAACCUGAUUACG